This 459-nucleotide ribosomal RNA is filed under the name uncultured bacterium. Its description in RNAcentral is "partial 16S ribosomal RNA". It matches the Rfam family "Bacterial small subunit ribosomal RNA", at positions 338 to 795 of the family's 1533-position model. The record is from RNAcentral.
CCUACGGGAGGCAGCAGUGAGGAAUAUUGGUCAAUGGGCGCGAGCCUGAACCAGCCAAGUCGCGUGAGGGAAGACGGUCCUAUGGAUUGUAAACCUCUUUUGUCGGGGAGCAAAAGACGCCACGCGUGGCGUUCCGAGAGUACCCGAAGAAAAAGCAUCGGCUAACUCCGUGCCAGCAGCCGCGGUAAUACGGAGGAUGCGAGCGUUAUCCGGAUUUAUUGGGUUGAAAGGGUGCGCAGGCGGAAGACCAGGUCAGCGGUAAAAGUGAGAGGCUCAACCUCUUCGAGCCGUUGAAACUGGUUUUCUUGAGUGAGUGAGAAGUAUGCGGAAUGCGUGGUGUAGCGGUGAAAUGCAUAGAUAUCACGCAGAACUCCGAUUGCGAAGGCAGCAUACCGGCGCUCAACUGACGCUCAUGCACGAAAGUGUGGGUAUCGAACAGGAUUAGAUACCCUAGUAGUC